Molecule: RNA transcript, 2042 nt
Organism: Polypterus senegalus (gray bichir)
Lineage: Eukaryota; Metazoa; Chordata; Cladistia; Polypteriformes; Polypteridae
Exons: 5
Source: RefSeq, a predicted model, not a curated record
CUGUGUGUGGCAUGCAAAAGUUUGGACACCCUUGCUUAAAAUGUCUGUUAUAGUGAAUAUGUAAAGUGAGUGGAAGAUGAACUGAUCACCAAAAGACGUGAAGUUAAAGAUGACACAUUUGUUUAAUAUUUUAAGCAAGAUUACAUUUUUAAUUUCCAUCAUUCAUAGAUACAAAAUACCAAAUAAAGGAAAAUGGCCUGAAGCAAAAGUUUGGGCAUCCAACAUUGUCAGUUCUUAGUAAAGACCCCCUUUGGCACUUACGCUUGUAAAUUCUUUUUGUGGUCACCUAAGAGUCUUUCAGUUCUUACUUGGGGUAUUUUCACCCAUUCAUCCUUGCAAAAGGCUUCUAAUUCUGCAAGAUUCUAUCCACAGAUUUUUUGCAUCAGUAUCUUGUUGUAGCACCCACCCUCUAUUACCAUUGGUAUAAAGGAGCUGAUCUCCUACUCUGAAGAGGCACCGAGCAGGGGUAUAGACAUUCAAGCCCCUAGUUGGGCAUCAUACAUUUGGAGUUUGUUCUCAUGGCAGAGAGGAUUGGCUCGGUACAACUUUGAGAGGAAAACUUUAUUGUUUGUGUGUCUGCACCAAUAUUCUGUUUAGUUUGUUAUCCUUUUUGUAGAGACUUCGGCUGCUGUGCUCAAAAGGGUACCAUCUAAUGACUCUGUAGUCCUACUUGGAAAUAUCGCUCACAUGAAGAAGAUAGAUACAUGGAGGGAUGUGAUUGGAAGGAGCAGCUUGCCUGCUUUGAACCCAGCACUUUUAUUACUACUAGGGGGUUUUGCUUUCCAACCCCUUCAACCAGCAAAGAGCUACACGCCGUUGUGAAGAGGGAGACUGAACACACCCCAAGGAGAUGCGGCCGCUGAUCCGAAACCCCACUUAAACGUUGAUAAAAUGGCCUAGCAUGUCUCUGAAAAAUCCAGCCAAGAAGGAACAAGAGACGUCAAAGAGGAUGACACGUUUUGGUGUCAGCCAUUCCAUGGAUGAGAUGGACAUGAAAUUGAAAGACUGCCACAUGGGGGUGGUAGGACAUCUAUGUUCUCCCCACACCAAGAGACCCUAAUUGUCGACAUGGUCCGUGAGAACAACACCAUUAAACUGUAUGAAUUUGAGGACCAUGUGCAUUUUGAGGGUAUUGACUGUGUCAGCCUCUCUACUGUUGACCGUGUCCUCAAGCGCAACAGACUGCGUAUGAAACAGCUGUACAGAGCGCCCUUUGAACGCAACUCUGAUAGAGUCAAAGAGCAAAGAUUCCAGUAUGUACAGAGAGUUUUUGAACUGGAUGCAAUGGAAAAACUCCAUGAAUACAUCUACAUGGAUGAAGCUGGGUUUAAUCUCACCAAAAGGAGAAGGAGAGGCCGUAGUGUGAUUGGCCAACGGGCCAUUGUUGGUGUCCCUGGGCAGCGUGGUGGCAAUGUCACACUGUGUGCUGCCAUCAGCAAUCAUGGUGUUGUCCACCAUCAGGCCAACCUCUAGGGCCCUACAACACUCACCAGCUCCUCAUUUUCCUCAAUCACAUGCGAGAUGCUCUGUUAGGGCAGCAGGAUGAGCAGCCCAUCUAUGUCGUUGUUUGGGACAAUGUGAGUUUUCACAGAGUCUGGCCUCCAGGUUAGAGAGUGGUUCAAUAUGAACCAAGGUUUUAUCAAUCUUUGCCUUCCACCGUACACCGAAUUCUUCUCCUCAUGGUGGUGGAAGGUACAGUAUAUGAAUGCCAACCUUAUACCAGGGUAAAUCUCCUGCAAGCCAUGGAACUGGCCUGUGGUGCCAUGGGUGUGGAGACAUGCCAGGGGUUUUUUCCCCCGUUGCCUGGCCAGAGAAAAUGUGGCCUGUGAUGUAGAUGAAGUCCUGUGGCCUGACCCAGUACGGAGAAAUGAUGCUGUGGCUGUGGAGUAAUGCACUUCUUUUCUUUGUACUUCAUUUGUAUAUUUUUGUGCUUUAUUUUUACGCACAAGUGCUACAUGUAAAUGCACAGAAUUUCUGUUUUUCUAUGUACAAGUGUUAAAAAUGCCCAGGUAUUUUGUUUUGCAACAUGCAUUUAGCCUCAA